UUCUAAAACAAAGCUCAGCCACAGUCGGCACUGGCCCUGUGGUUGGGUGUCACCACUGGCUGUCAGUUGAAGGCCAGGGAUUUAGUGGCAGCUCGAAGAGCCUCCCUGUUCCUCUCCCUGCCGCAGCCCCUGUAAAAUCCCUAGCGCUAGUCACGGUAGCUAAGGCAGGUUCAACGUGGAGGACGCCGCACUUUAAGUCCAUAUUACUUGAGAGAAGACUUAUAGCAGCAACUUAUGAGUAAAAAAAAAAUGAAUCUACUGUAUUCCCAGCUGAAAUGAGCUAGACAAAACUCCCAGGGAUACGAUUUAGAGGAAAGAGUUGGAGGGAUGCCUGGAAGACUCAGGGAGAACCCUGUUAAGGAGGUUAUUUCAUUGCUGAGAAAGCCAAGACGCAGGGACACUAGGGGAAAGGGAAGUCCUGGUAAGAACUUGAGUGCCACGCUGCAAAGCUUCGCUUCACGGUGCAACAACUAGUCAAGAGUCCUGCAUCAAGGCUCAGAUUUUUCACAUAUCGCAAGGACUCCUGAGGCAUGUCAGACCCAGCCUAAGACCGUUCCCCUCAAGACCCAGCUUUCCCAUAUUGUGUCGUCUGAGGAGCUGAGCUGGAGAGGCCCAGCGCUGGCUGUCAGGCACUCCAGAUGCCCGGGUACCUCUGCCUUCUGAGACCCAUGCUUCCCACCCAAAGCCGAAUAAAU
Non-coding RNA from Peromyscus maniculatus bairdii (prairie deer mouse), 695 nucleotides. NCBI's taxonomy places the organism in Eukaryota, Metazoa, Chordata, Mammalia, Rodentia, Cricetidae. The record is from RefSeq and is a predicted model, not a curated record.